Molecule: non-coding RNA, 72 nt
Organism: Potamilus streckersoni
Lineage: Eukaryota; Metazoa; Mollusca; Bivalvia; Unionida; Unionidae
Source: the annotation of a GenBank genome assembly
GCUCAGGUGGCCUAGUGGUUAGAGCAUCUGCCUCAGAUGCAGGAGGGCUUGGAUUCGAUCCCAUCUGAGUCA